AAGCGGUGGAUUAUGUGGAUUAAUUCGAUGCAACGCGAAAACCUUACCUACCUUGACAUGUCCUGAAGCCUGGAGAGAUCCGGGUGUGCCCGAAAGGAACGGGAACGACAGGUGCUGCAUGGCUGUCGUCAGCUCGUGUCGUGAGAUGUUGGGUUAAGUCCCGCAACGAGCGCAACCCUUGUCAUUAGUUGCUACAUUUGGUUGGGCACUCUAAUGAGACUGCCGGUGACAAACCGGAGGAAGGUGGGGAUGACGUCAAGUCCUCAUGGCCCUUAUGGGUAGGGCUUCACACGUAAUACAAUGGCGCGUACAGAGGGUUGCCAAGCCGCGAGGUGGAGCCAAUCCCAGAAAGCGCGUCGUAGUCCGGAUUGCAGUCUGCAACUCGACUGCAUGAAGUCGGAAUCGCUAGUAAUCGCGGAUCAGCAUGUCGCGGUGAAUACGUUCCCGGGUCUU
RNAcentral lists this ribosomal RNA (453 nucleotides) under uncultured Nitrosomonadaceae bacterium. Its description in RNAcentral is "bacterial SSU rRNA". It matches the Rfam family "Bacterial small subunit ribosomal RNA", at positions 927 to 1382 of the family's 1533-position model. Lineage: Bacteria; Pseudomonadati; Pseudomonadota; Betaproteobacteria; Nitrosomonadales; Nitrosomonadaceae. The record is from RNAcentral.